Molecule: long non-coding RNA, 393 nt
Organism: Solanum lycopersicum (tomato)
Lineage: Eukaryota; Viridiplantae; Streptophyta; Magnoliopsida; Solanales; Solanaceae
Source: RefSeq, a predicted model, not a curated record
AAAUAUCCGCACAAAUUACUUGCAAGUGGCUUAUUGAGCAUUACAUCAAAAAUUAAGAUGAAUUUCAACGCAAUGGCUUUUUUCCUCAUCUUUAUGAUGACAGGACUAUGUUUUUCGCAAAAGGCUGAAGCGCGAGAUAUUUCCCCUUGUUGUUGUGACAAAGACCCCUCAGUUUGUUAUCGUUUGUGUGGCUAUAUACAAGACUAUUACUGUAACGGCAUGUACUGUAUUUGUGGGAGUAAACGACCUCCAGUUCAGUUUGCACAAACUAAUGGAACUACAAAUUUAAGAAUUUGAGUUUCUACAGACAAAAAUAGAAGUGGAAUUCAAUUUCAGUUUUAUGUAGUUUACAAUAUAAGGCAUUACCAGAUAUAAAAGCUUAUGUUUUUCUUC